UCUGGGACAAGCCCUGGAAACGGGGUCUAAUACCGGAUAACACUCUGUCCCGCAUGGGACGGGGUUAAAAGCUCCGGCGGUGAAGGAUGAGCCCGCGGCCUAUCAGCUUGUUGGUGGGGUAAUGGCCUACCAAGGCGACGACGGGUAGCCGGCCUGAGAGGGCGACCGGCCACACUGGGACUGAGACACGGCCCAGACUCCUACGGGAGGCAGCAGUGGGGAAUAUUGCACAAUGGGCGAAAGCCUGAUGCAGCGACGCCGCGUGAGGGAUGACGGCCUUCGGGUUGUAAACCUCUUUCAGCAGGGAAGAAGCGAAAGUGACGGUACCUGCAGAAGAAGCGCCGGCUAACUACGUGCCAGCAGCCGCGGUAAUACGUAGGGCGCAAGCGUUGUCCGGAAUUAUUGGGCGUAAAGAGCUCGUAGGCGGCUUGUCACGUCGGAUGUGAAAGCCCGGGGCUUAACCCCGGGUCUGCAUUCGAUACGGGCUAGCUAGAGUGUGGUAGGGGAGAUCGGAAUUCCUGGUGUAGCGGUGAAAUGCGCAGAUAUCAGGAGGAACACCGGUGGCGAAGGCGGAUCUCUGGGCCAUUACUGACGCUGAGGAGCGAAAGCGUGGGGAGCGAACAGGAUUAGAUACCCUGGUAGUCCACGCCGUAAACGUUGGGAACUAGGUGUUGGCGACAUUCCACGUCGUCGGUGCCGCAGCUAACGCAUUAAGUUCCCCGGCCUGG
RNAcentral lists this ribosomal RNA (728 nucleotides) under Streptomyces sp. RNAcentral's name for it is "bacterial SSU rRNA". It matches the Rfam family "Bacterial small subunit ribosomal RNA", at positions 137 to 876 of the family's 1533-position model. The record is from RNAcentral. Lineage: Bacteria; Bacillati; Actinomycetota; Actinomycetes; Kitasatosporales; Streptomycetaceae.